AUAUUAUAAAAAUUAUAAUAAUUAAUAUUAUAGUAAUUAAUAUCUUUGAUCAAUGCAUCUGUGAUUAGGCAAAGCACCAUAUUGCUUUUGUCAGAAAGCUUCUAAUCUUGUUUUGCCAGUGAAUUGGCACUACUUGUUUCCUUCAGCUGGGGCUACAAGGAGUGAGACUUUUCUUGCUUAUGAAAGGCUUUGGCUGGAAAAAUGGAACGUAGAUCAAACCUUUUCUGGACAAAGUGCAAAGACCAGUUUCAGCCAUCCCACAGCAUGCUAAGAUAAAGCCCUACAGCUUUAAGUUGUGUUUAAAUAGAGAGACCAGUUUGUGGGUCAAAAGUUUGUGCUUUUGUUUGGGGUCAAAGCUAUAGUACCCUACCACCCCUUCUCAAAGCCAACAGUUUAGGGCAGUUCCAGGUUUCCACCCUUCAAGAAAACAAAAGAAAAAAUUAAAAAAAAAAUCAGAAAGUGGCUGGAAUUCUUGACAAUAAGUGUUAUUCUCCAUCAUUAUCCCAAGUUUCAAAAAUCUGCCACCACUGCUAGAAUUGGAAGGCAUGUGGAGGCACNN
This 559-nucleotide long non-coding RNA is filed under the name Phoenix dactylifera (date palm). RNAcentral's name for it is "long non-coding RNA (PDAC_LNC003991)". The record is from RNAcentral. Lineage: Eukaryota; Viridiplantae; Streptophyta; Magnoliopsida; Arecales; Arecaceae.